Molecule: transfer RNA, 79 nt
Filed under: Hepatozoon canis
Lineage: Eukaryota; Apicomplexa; Hepatozoidae
Description: tRNA-Leu
Rfam family: tRNA
About the family: Transfer RNA (tRNA) molecules are approximately 80 nucleotides in length. Their secondary structure includes four short double-helical elements and three loops (D, anti-codon, and T loops). Further hydrogen bonds mediate the characteristic L-shaped molecular structure. tRNAs have two regions of fundamental functional importance: the anti-codon, which is responsible for specific mRNA codon recognition, and the 3' end, to which the tRNAs corresponding amino acid is attached (by aminoacyl-tRNA synthetases). tRNAs cope with the degeneracy of the genetic code in two manners: having more than one tRNA (with a specific anti-codon) for a particular amino acid; and 'wobble' base-pairing, i.e. permitting non-standard base-pairing at the 3rd anti-codon position.
Source: RNAcentral
GUAGAAGUAGCGAAAUUGGAUUAUACGCACUAGAGUUAGGAUCUAAUGAACGCUGAGAGUUCGAGUCUCUCCUUCUAUA